AUUGAACGCUGGCGGCAGGCCUAACACAUGCAAGUCGAGCGGUAACAGGAGAAAGCUUGCUUUCUUGCUGACGAGCGGCGGACGGGUGAGUAAUGUAUGGGGAUCUGCCCGAUAGAGGGGGAUAACUACUGGAAACGGUGGCUAAUACCGCAUAAUGUCUACGGACCAAAGCAGGGGCUCUUCGGACCUUGCACUAUCGGAUGAACCCAUAUGGGAUUAGCUAGUAGGUGGGGUAAAGGCUCACCUAGGCGACGAUCUCUAGCUGGUCUGAGAGGAUGAUCAGCCACACUGGGACUGAGACACGGCCCAGACUCCUACGGGAGGCAGCAGUGGGGAAUAUUGCACAAUGGGCGCAAGCCUGAUGCAGCCAUGCCGCGUGUAUGAAGAAGGCCUUAGGGUUGUAAAGUACUUUCAGCGGGGAGGAAGGUGAUAAGGUUAAUACCCUUGUCAAUUG
RNAcentral lists this ribosomal RNA (454 nucleotides) under Proteus mirabilis. Its description in RNAcentral is "bacterial SSU rRNA". It matches the Rfam family "Bacterial small subunit ribosomal RNA", at positions 30 to 478 of the family's 1533-position model. Lineage: Bacteria; Pseudomonadati; Pseudomonadota; Gammaproteobacteria; Enterobacterales; Morganellaceae. The record is from RNAcentral.